This is a long non-coding RNA of Carassius auratus (goldfish), 589 nucleotides long. RefSeq lists it as uncharacterized. The record is from RefSeq and is a predicted model, not a curated record. NCBI's taxonomy places the organism in Eukaryota, Metazoa, Chordata, Actinopteri, Cypriniformes, Cyprinidae. The transcript has 4 exons.
GUGAAGUAUUCCGUGUACAGCUGUCCUGGUCACCGAACACUAUCCUUAGUACUGUUGAUGGUAGCCUCUCAGAUCAUGAAAUUAGUAGGCCCUCAACCUUAUAUGUGCUUUGGAUGUCAGGUGUUCAAAUAGAGGAAUUAAUUGCAUCCAGUGUUGAAUCUUCAACUGACCAACUGGCUGCUACUCAGGACUUAGGAAGCAUCCCAAGUCCCCUCCAUUCCAGUGAUCAGGAAGUUGGCUUCUCCCCCUGCCCUGUUCCAGCUUUCUCACCACCAAUUGACAAUUCUUCGCCCUCGUCACCGCCAUGUGAAGUUUAUGCAUUAGAUUCUGAAGAUGAGGAGGAUGUGGUGAUGUUGACCUCACCUGUUUAUUCUGACAAUUAAAUUGAUGAUGACGUUUCUGCUGCUGACAUCAUCAGAACAUUUCAGAGGGAAAAUCUAAAUUUGGAAGAAAGGGUUGAUUGUAGUGGCCAGAAGGAGGAAAAUUCUUCAUAGUGCAUGUACUGCACUGAAAACUAGCUACUUUGCAUGGCACAAAUCCCCACAAAUUGAAUUUGUAGGUGAAAGUGCUGAUGACUAUGGGGGACCUA